Thalassophryne amazonica is the source of this 118-nucleotide long non-coding RNA. RefSeq lists it as uncharacterized. The transcript is spliced from 3 exons. The record is from RefSeq and is a predicted model, not a curated record. NCBI's taxonomy places the organism in Eukaryota, Metazoa, Chordata, Actinopteri, Batrachoidiformes, Batrachoididae.
AAACUUUAUUGAUCCCACAGUGGGGAAAAUCACUUGUUGCAGCAGCAAGAGUCGUACAGUAGUAAAGAAAAAGAGAAAUACUUACAUUAAAGAAAGCUAACUAAAAUGUACUGAAAAG